CAUACCUCAUGGACACAUUUUAGGAUGGGACAGGCACGCAGGUACCAAAUACCUACCUGCCAGCCACAUAUGCAUAGUCAGGCAGGUAGGCACGCAGCUAUAGGCAUGCUGAUAGGUACGUAGGCAGGCUGGCACUACACAUUAAAUCGC
Non-coding RNA from Caenorhabditis elegans, 150 nucleotides. NCBI's taxonomy places the organism in Eukaryota, Metazoa, Nematoda, Chromadorea, Rhabditida, Rhabditidae. The record is from Ensembl.